RNAcentral lists this ribosomal RNA (420 nucleotides) under Haliotis rufescens (red abalone). RNAcentral's name for it is "partial 16S ribosomal RNA". It matches the Rfam family "Bacterial large subunit ribosomal RNA", at positions 1860 to 2526 of the family's 2925-position model. Lineage: Eukaryota; Metazoa; Mollusca; Gastropoda; Lepetellida; Haliotidae. The record is from RNAcentral.
UGCCCGGNGACCUACGGGUUAAACGGACGCNGUACACUGACCGUGCAAAGGUAGCACAAUCACUUGCCUUUUAAUUGGAGGCUGGUAUGAAUGGUUUGACGAGGGCUGAGCUGUCUCUCCUGGAAUAUUUAAAAAUUAACUUCUAAGUGAAAAGGCUUAGAUUUAGCUGAGGGACGAGAAGACCCUGUUGAGCUUUAGUGUGGAAUAAAAGGUUUAUUUUUAUUAGAAUAGAGGAUUUUAAGUUUAUUCUUACAUCUUUAGUUGGGGUGACUAGGGAACAUGGAAAGCUUCUCUGUUAAUUUGUAGAAAUUUGGUUUACUAACAAGUGAUCCAGCAUUGCUGAUUAUCGGAAAAAGUUACCACAGGGAUAACAGCGUAAUCUUUCUGGAGAGUUCACAUUGAAAGAAGGGUUUGCGACCU